UAGAGGUGUAUAGAUGUGUCUCUGAGCCGCUGUGUUAGAGGUGGAUAGAUGUGUCUCUGAACUGUUGUGUUAGAGGUGGAUAGAUGUGUCUCUGAGCUGCUGUGUUAGAGGUGGAUAGAUGUGUCUCUGAGCUGCUGUGUUAGAGGUGGAUAGAUGUGUCUCUGAGCUGUUGUGUUCGAGGUGGAUAGAUGUGUCUCUGAGCUGUUGUGUUGGAGGUGGAUAGAUGUGUCUCUGAGCCGCUGUGUUAGAGGUGGAUAGAUGUGUCUCUGAGCUGUUGUGUUAGAGGUGGAUAGAUGUGUCUCUGAGCUGCUGUGUUAGAGGUGGAUAGAUGUGUCUCUGAGCUGCUGUGUUAGAGGUGGAUAGAUGUGUCUCUGAGCUGCUGUGUUAGAGGUGGAUAGAUGUGUCUCUGAGCUGUUGUGUUCGAGGUGGAUAGAUGUGUCUCUGAGCUGCUGUGUUAGAGGUGGAUAGAUGUGUCUCUGAGCCGCUGUGUUAGAGGUGGAUAGAUGUGUCUCUGAGCCGUUGUGUUAGAGGUGGAUAGAUGUGUCUCUGAGCUGCUGUGUUAGAGGUGGAUAGAUGUGUCUCUGAGCCGUUGUGUUAGAGGUGGAUAGAUGUGUCUCUGAGCUGUUGUGUUAGAGGUGGAUAGAUGUGUCUCUGAGCUGUUGUGUUCGAGGUGGAUAGAUGUGUCUCUGAGCUGCUGUGUUAGAGGUGGAUAGAUGUGUCUCUGAGCUGCUGUGUUAGAGGUGGAUAGAUGUGUCUCUGAGCUGUUGUGUUCGAGGUGGAUAGAUGUGUCUCUGAGCUGCUGUGUUAGAGGUGGAUAGAUGUGUCUCUGAGCUGCUGUGUUAGAGGUGGAUAGAUGUGUCUCUGAGCUGCUGUGUUAGAGGUGGAUAGAUGUG
Oncorhynchus tshawytscha (Chinook salmon) is the source of this 893-nucleotide long non-coding RNA. RefSeq lists it as uncharacterized. The record is from RefSeq and is a predicted model, not a curated record. The transcript has 3 exons. NCBI's taxonomy places the organism in Eukaryota, Metazoa, Chordata, Actinopteri, Salmoniformes, Salmonidae.